This 497-nucleotide ribosomal RNA is filed under the name uncultured bacterium. RNAcentral's name for it is "partial 16S ribosomal RNA". It matches the Rfam family "Bacterial small subunit ribosomal RNA", at positions 28 to 507 of the family's 1533-position model. The record is from RNAcentral.
GAUGAACGCUGGCGGCGUGCCUAAUACAUGCAAGUCGAGCGAACAGAUAAGGAGCUUGCUCCUUUGACGUUAGCGGCGGACGGGUGAGUAACACGUGGGUAACCUACCUAUAAGACUGGAAUAACUCCGGGAAACCGGGGCUAAUGCCGGAUAACAUUUAGAACCGCAUGGUUCUAAAGUGAAAGAUGGUUUUGCUAUCACUUAUAGAUGGACCCGCGCCGUAUUAGCUAGUUGGUAAGGUAACGGCUUACCAAGGCAACGAUACGUAGCCGACCUGAGAGGGUGAUCGGCCACACUGGAACUGAGACACGGUCCAGACUCCUACGGGAGGCAGCAGUAGGGAAUCUUCCGCAAUGGGCGAAAGCCUGACGGAGCAACGCCGCGUGAGUGAUGAAGGUCUUCGGAUCGUAAAACUCUGUUAUUAGGGAAGAACAAAAGUGUAAGUAACUGUGCACGUCUUGACGGUACCUAAUCAGAAAGCCACGGCUAACUACGUG